GAUGAACGCUGGCGGCGUGCCUAAUACAUGCAAGUCGAGCGAACGGACGAGAAGCUUGCUUCUCUGAUGUUAGCGGCGGACGGGUGAGUAACACGUGGAUAACCUGCCUAUAAGACUGGGAUAACUUCGGGAAACCGGAGCUAAUACCGGAUGAUAUUUUGAACCGCAUGGUUCAAAAGUGAAAGACGGUCUUGCUGUCACUUAUAGAUGGAUCCGCGCUGUAUUAGCUAGUUGGUAAGGUAACGGCUUACCAAGGCAACGAUGCAUAGCCGACCUGAGAGGGUGAUCGGCCACACUGGAACUGAGACACGGCCCAGACUCCUACGGGAGGCAGCAGUAGGGAAUCUUCCGCAAUGGGCGAAAGCCUGACGGAGCAACGCCGCGUGAGUGAUGAAGGUCUUCGGAUCGUAAAACUCUGUUAUUAGGGAAGAACAUAUGUGUAAGUAACUGUGCACAUCUUGACGGUACCUAAUCAGAAAGCCACGGCUAACUACGUG
Molecule: ribosomal RNA, 497 nt
Filed under: uncultured bacterium
Lineage: Bacteria
Description: partial 16S ribosomal RNA
Rfam family: Bacterial small subunit ribosomal RNA
Source: RNAcentral